CAAUAGCGUAUACUAAAGUUGUUGCAGUUAAAAAGCUCGUAGUUGGAUUCUCUAUGGGCUCCAGCCAGCCUGGUCUAGUACCAGCCGCCGGCGUGGCGUCCAUACAUCUUUCCUAAGAGCGCGUCUAGGGAUUCAGUUCUCUAUUCGCAGCCCUCUUAGGUCGUUUACUUUGAGAAAAUUAGAGUGUUCAAAGCAGGCAUCAUGCAAUUGUAUAUAUUAGCAUGGAAUAAUGGAACUCGACUUCGGUCAGCUUUGUUGGUUCAAUGACUGAAGUAAUGAUUAAUAGGGACGGUCGGGGGCAUUAGUAUUAAGCGGUCAGAGGUGAAAUUCUUAGAUUCGCUUAAGACUAACUACUGCGAAAGCAUUUGCCAAGGACGUUCUCAUUAA
This 387-nucleotide ribosomal RNA is filed under the name uncultured eukaryote. RNAcentral's name for it is "partial 18S ribosomal RNA". It matches the Rfam family "Eukaryotic small subunit ribosomal RNA", at positions 592 to 976 of the family's 1831-position model. The record is from RNAcentral.